UUGUCUCAAAGAUUAAGCCAUGCAUGUCUCAGUACAAGCCAAAUUAAGGUGAAACCGCGAAAGGCUCAUUAAAUCAGUUAUGGUUCCUUAGAUCGUACCCACAUUUACUUGGAUAACUGUGGUAAUUCUAGAGCUAAUACAUGCAAACAGAGCUCCGACCGGAGACGGAAGGAGCGCUUUUAUUAGAUCAAAACCAAUCGGUGGCGUUUACGUCAUCGUACAACUUGGUGACUCUGAAUAACUUUACGCUGAUCGCACGGUCUUGCACCGGCGACGCAUCUUUCAAAUGUCUGCCUUAUCAACUGUCGAUGGUAGGUUCUGCGCCUACCAUGGUUGUAACGGGUAACGGGGAAUCAGGGUUCGAUUCCGGAGAGGGAGCCUGAGAAACGGCUACCACAUCCAAGGAAGGCAGCAGGCGCGCAAAUUACCCACUCCCGGCACGGGGAGGUAGUGACGAAAAAUAACGAUACGGGACUCAUCCGAGGCCCCGUAAUCGGAAUGAGUACACUCUAAACCCUUUAACGAGGAUCAAUUGGAGGGCAAGUCUGGUGCCAGCAGCCGCGGUAAUUCCAGCUCCAAUAGCGUAUAUUAAAGUUGUUGCGGUUAAAAAGCUCGUAGUCGAAUCUGUGUCCCGCGCCGCCGGUUCAUCGUUCGCGGUGUUAACUGGCGUGCCGCGGGACGUCCUGCCGGUGGGCUUAGCUCGCGAGGGCGGCCCAACUCAAUCCCGCCGCGGUGCUCUUCAUUGAGUGUCGAGGUGGGCCGGCACGUUUACUUUGAACAAAUUAGAGUGCUUAAAGCAGGCUAAAACUUCGCCUGAAUACUGUGUGCAUGGAAUAAUGGAAUAGGACCUCGGUUCUAUUUUGUUGGUUUUCGGAACCCCGAGGUAAUGAUUAAUAGGAACGGAUGGGGGCAUUCGUAUUGCGACGUUAGAGGUGAAAUUCUUGGAUCGUCGCAGACGG
Molecule: ribosomal RNA, 959 nt
Filed under: Ablabus mimus
Lineage: Eukaryota; Metazoa; Arthropoda; Insecta; Coleoptera; Zopheridae
Description: SSU rRNA
Rfam family: Eukaryotic small subunit ribosomal RNA
Source: RNAcentral